This 253-nucleotide ribosomal RNA is filed under the name uncultured bacterium. RNAcentral's name for it is "partial 16S ribosomal RNA". It matches the Rfam family "Bacterial small subunit ribosomal RNA", at positions 524 to 776 of the family's 1533-position model. The record is from RNAcentral.
UACAGAGGUCUCAAGCGUUGUUCGGAUUCAUUGGGCGUAAAGGGUGCGUAGGUGGCGCGGUAAGUCGGGUGUGAAAUUUCGGAGCUUAACUCCGAAACUGCAUUCGAUACUGCCGUGCUUGAGGACUGGAGAGGAGACUGGAAUUUACGGUGUAGCAGUGAAAUGCGUAGAGAUCGUAAGGAAGGCCAGUGGCGAAGGCGAGUUCCUGGACAGUGACUGACGCUGAGGCACGAAGGCCAGGGGAGCAAACGGG